UAUAUAUAUGUAUUUGGAUGUGGUGAUGUUGGUCCCGGUAGCGUUAUAACGAGAGUCUAGAGGGGGGGUGAAUAGACUCUUUUCGGAUUUUGCUAAAUAACAACCUUUC
Ipomoea nil (Japanese morning glory) is the source of this 109-nucleotide long non-coding RNA. RefSeq lists it as uncharacterized. The record is from RefSeq and is a predicted model, not a curated record. The transcript has 3 exons. NCBI's taxonomy places the organism in Eukaryota, Viridiplantae, Streptophyta, Magnoliopsida, Solanales, Convolvulaceae.